AUGCAAAGUGAUUUUCUCAGUGUGAUCUUGGGACUACCCUGAAGAAGACAACCUAUCAUACUCAAAACCUGAGAAUAAAUAAAUAUAUGCACAUAGACCUCAUCUGGCUUGUACGCUCAGGAGAAAGAACAACCACAGCAAUCUGCAGUGUUUUAUUCUUCAAUAGAGUUUCCCAACUGCUUCUCAUCUAUACAUCCAAAUAAAGCAUAACUUUCAAAG
Non-coding RNA from Lonchura striata (white-rumped munia), 219 nucleotides. The record is from RefSeq and is a predicted model, not a curated record. Lineage: Eukaryota; Metazoa; Chordata; Aves; Passeriformes; Estrildidae.